Long non-coding RNA from Halichondria panicea, 1021 nucleotides. RefSeq lists it as uncharacterized. The transcript is spliced from 7 exons. The record is from RefSeq and is a predicted model, not a curated record. NCBI's taxonomy places the organism in Eukaryota, Metazoa, Porifera, Demospongiae, Suberitida, Halichondriidae.
AGACGGUAGUAACAUAAUAACGUAUGACCAGUAUAUACAUGUACGUACGUCAAUUUGUAAAUAUACAUGUAGACUAAACAUCACAGCUACUGCCAAAAUAAGGCUUUGUUCAGUCAAAUAAGGGUGCCCAUUCCGCAAUAUAAAAGCAUUUAGAAAUACCCAAGACAAAUUAUAAGCCAAAGAGAGGUACGGAAAAGUGGACAUAAAUUCCGCAACAAAGUAAAGCACUUCUAUCAACAUUUCACUGCAUAAAUAAGAAAUUUAAUAUCAAGUGACAUCAUCAAGUUCUUGGGCAAGGAUGUGUGCAUCCCUCAGUUUCAUCUCAUCGAUGGUAUCUGUGGAUUCAACCCUGACGAUAUUAACAUUACUCGUCUCCCCACCUACUAUACCCACACAUCUGCCGGUACGUCUGUCAAGAAUCUCAUUCACUUUGCUCAGGGAGCGCACAAUGGAAAGUUUGCAAUGUAUGACUACGAGCAAAGAAUAUGAAAGCAUACGGAACUCCCACCCCUCCCUCGUACAACGUGACAGAGCUGAAUGUCCCCACUGCCUUGUUCACUGGUGGCCAUGAUUGGUUAGCUGACCCCACUGACGUCAAUGCCUCGGCUCCAUACCACUGCUCAACACUACUGACAUCAAUCGAGCUAUGGAGGAAUCUUACAAAACAAUGUGCUGUGACCUAAGCUGCCAUGCUGUCGUGAUCAGAACAGGGUGGUGGAAAAUCAAGAUGGCGGUGCUAUGUGGGGCUGAUGGAGACAUAAUUUACGAUACAGGGUUGUAAAACCCUCAACAUUAAUUUUUGUAACAGUCUUAUAUAGAGUAUUUUUUUAUGUUAUAGUUUUCAUCUACAGCUGAUUUGUAAAUGAAGCAGACAUUCAUCUAGGCCCUGAUAAAUAACUUUAUUAUGUUUUUUUUUCACCCAUUAUUCAUUCUUGAAAAAUAUGCCUAUUAUUCUCAUAAAAAUCCGAUUAUUCUUAAUUAUUACAUAACAACGUUAACGUAUAUAUAAACACAACACACA